RNAcentral lists this long non-coding RNA (919 nucleotides) under Monodelphis domestica (gray short-tailed opossum). RNAcentral's name for it is "lncRNA (ENSMODG00000048825.1)". Lineage: Eukaryota; Metazoa; Chordata; Mammalia; Didelphimorphia; Didelphidae. The record is from RNAcentral.
GCCAGCCAUUUGAAAGCAUUUCUAAUCCAUAAAGAGUACCCUGUCCCACAAGUAUCAGCAGAGAUAAUGGAAUCACCUAAAGUAGGUGUCUCAGCCUGGUCCAUCGGGGCUGAUUUCCUUGAACGAGUGCCCGAAAGUUGAAGCUCCAAGGGAGAGAAGGACCAAGGAGAAGACAUUCUGUUUUGGGGAUCGGGGGACAACGGCACCAGACAAGCUCAAUCUCGGAUCGUACCACUCUCCCACUUCCUCCCCUUCUGUUUUGCCUCGUUCCAAAGCCCACCCAGCUUCAUCCCUCACCAUUUCGCCCGGCCUCAAACCCUAACCUUGCCCUGAAGUCCACUUGGGAUUCCCAGAUUGCGUCCCUAGUAGGAACGCAGGCGCUGACUCUGACACUCCGAGAGCUCGGCGCGACGCCGCGCCCGGAAGCCCGCACCUUUGCGCCCCGCGCAGCGCACCUCGGCACACCCCAGCGCUGCGGCCAGGAGCGAGCCUCUGGCCUCCCCAGAGGCAGAAGCAAAGGCUAGGGGACCGAACGGCACUGGGCCAGAUCUUCCCUCCUCUUCCAAGCCGGGCUUUGCGGAGAGAGGGAGGGAGAGGAAGGAAGGAAGGUGGGGGAGAAGAAGAGAGAGAAGAAGGAAGAAAGAAAAAGGAGAGAGGGAGGGAGAGAGAUAGAGGGAAGCAGCAGCCUCUUUCCCCAGAUUGCCUGUCCCACUUUCCUCCUCCCCAGUUGAGUUUGUUCCAGUCGGGCAGAAGCCGAGAGCCAGGAGCUGGGCAGAGGGCUGAGCUGCUUGAGCCCCAGCCUAAACCCGAGCCGGAGCUGAGGAGAACUGGGCUCGGCUGCGCUCGCUCGGACGGGUUGCACCGGCUGGGUUGGGUUGGGCUGGGCUGGGCUGGGCUGGGCUGGGUUGGGCUAGGCUAG